This is a long non-coding RNA of Metopolophium dirhodum (rose-grain aphid), 149 nucleotides long. RefSeq lists it as uncharacterized. The record is from RefSeq and is a predicted model, not a curated record. The transcript has 4 exons. NCBI's taxonomy places the organism in Eukaryota, Metazoa, Arthropoda, Insecta, Hemiptera, Aphididae.
GAUAAAAAUGGUUGGACGCAGACUGUAAUUUAUUCACAGCGGUAUGGCGAUAAAAAUGGUUGGACGCAGACUGUAAUUUAUUUAAGGAAAAAUUCGUGUCCGGUCGGAAAACAUGUGGAGGAUUUUAUGCGUUUAAAUGAGAAUAAUAG